UGGGGAAUUUUCCGCAAUGGGCGCAAGCCUGACGGAGCAACGCCGCGUGUGGGAUGAAGGCCUGUGGGUUGUAAACCACUUUUCUCAGGGACGAAGCUCUGACGGUACCUGAGGAAUCAGCCUCGGCUAACUCUGUGCCAGCAGCCGCGGUAAGACAGAGGAGGCAAGCGUUAUCCGGAAUUAUUGGGCGUAAAGCGUCCGUAGGUGGUUUGACAAGUCUGGGGUCAAAGCCCGGAGCCCAACUCCGGAUCGGCCUUGGAAACUGUCAGACUGGAGUAAGGUAGGGGUUGCGGGAAUUCCCGGUGUAGCGGUGAAAUGCGUAGAUAUCGGGAAGAACACCAGCGGCGAAAGCGCGCAACUGGGCCAUUACUGACACUGAGGGACGAAAGCUAGGGGAGCGAAUGGGAUUAGAUACCCCAGUAGUC
Molecule: ribosomal RNA, 425 nt
Filed under: uncultured cyanobacterium
Lineage: Bacteria; Bacillati; Cyanobacteriota
Description: bacterial SSU rRNA
Rfam family: Bacterial small subunit ribosomal RNA
Source: RNAcentral